Long non-coding RNA from Lynx canadensis (Canada lynx), 2181 nucleotides. RefSeq lists it as uncharacterized. The record is from RefSeq and is a predicted model, not a curated record. The transcript has 5 exons. NCBI's taxonomy places the organism in Eukaryota, Metazoa, Chordata, Mammalia, Carnivora, Felidae.
CGUGAGCGCGCGCCGCGCCGGUUUCUAAGUUUAGCUCGGCGGUUUCGGUGGGGUCGGGCGAGGAAGCUGAGGGGGUGCUCUGUCAAAAUGAGGGAAGAAACCAAGAGGAAGGCGUGAGAUGCUGGAACCAGGGAUUCCAACUAGUGUCGCAAAGGAAUAAAGUGUUCCAAAACCCAGACACGAGCUCUCCACAGGGGAGUAGAUGCACUGUAGUUAUUUUAAGGAGAAAGAGUGUCCAUCAUCUCGUGCCUGGGAGACCUACUGUUGCCAUUUCCUCAGCGACUGUAGCUGUUGGAAUAGUCGUGUCUGCAGUCCUCAGGGCAGUGUGGUGCACAUGAGGAGAGACCAGAAGUUGUUAUCCGGAGAAGCUGAACUGAAGGUGCUCUGGACUCCAGGACACUGGUCCCCGCGGAAAGUGACAGGGAGGCAGGGCUUGCUGGGGCAGGACUGCCCGCCUCCCUACUCCACUCCUCCCUGUGACCCAGCAGCAUUAGACCAUCUGCAGAUGCUUCUAAACCAGGGAGGUCAAUCAGGAGCCUGAGUCCCACGUGCAUCCCAGACUAGACCCGGAAAGGGCUUUCGCAUUGUGAUGUGGGCACACCUCCAUUCUGCACCUUAUAAGCACAGGUAUCCGUGUGGGAGGGGAUUCUGGACAGCCCCCCUUUUACAGAUGAAGAACUGAAGCCAGGAUAGGAGUCAGCCACACCUCCCCGGCUGAUUCUUCUCUGUUCUCUUUCUGUUUCCUUCUCACCUUCUUCCUGAUCUCUAAAUGUUGGCGUGCCCCAGAGCUCAGCACACAGACCCUCCCACACUAUCGCAGGAACCUCACCCAGGCCUGUGGCUUUUAUGCACCACUCACAUGCACCUGUGGGCCGCUUUCAGCCGUGGAUCGUAGCCCAGAUUCUCUGCCAGACUCCAGGCUCAUACAUCCAACUGCCCACUCAGGGUCCCCUCUGGGAUGCCUCAUGGGUGUCUCUCUUUGCGUGGGUCCAAACUGAGUUCCUGACCUUUCGUUCUCCCAGUGCAUUUGAGUUCGUGGCAAUUCCAUCAUUGCUCAAGCCGAUAACCUUCGAGUCACUCUUGGCUUCUGUUUCUCACAGACUCAUGCCCAAACCAUCAGCAGAUCUGCUCCUUCCCAUCUCCACCUCACCACCCUGCUUUGAGCCACCAUCAGCCCUGGUUUGGUUUGUAGUGGUCUUCUCGUUGGUCUCCCUGCUUCCACUCUUGGGCCCUGUGGUCUGUUAUAAACUAACUCAGCAGCCAGGCUAUCCUGGGAAGAUAAAAGUCAGCUGAGGUCCCUGCUCAGCAAAAACCCCUCCAAUGGCACCCCAUCCCAGACAUAGUACUGGCCCAUGUUACCCUUCCACCUGAGGUCCUGGCCCGCAUUCCCUCCCUGCUCCCUCCAUGCCAGCCACAGUGGCCCCCCAGUACACCAGGUGUAGAUGCACUCACACCUUGAGGCCUUGGUAUUUGCAUCUCCUCUGCUUGGCAGACUCCACCCCCCCACCCCCCCACCCCCGCUCCCAGGUAUCUGCAUGCCUGCUCCCCCUCCUCCUGGGCACACCUUCACUCCUCCUCCUUAUGCAAACCCCAUCUUGCCAGUGAGGUCUUCCCUAACCUCCUCAAUUUAAAUUGCACCCCCCUCCAUUUUCUGUCCCCCCUUUCUACUUUAUUUUCCUCCAUGACACUUACCACCAAACAGGCUAUAUAGUUUGUUUAUUUUAUUUUUCUCCUCUGACUGGAAUAUAGUAAGUUCCCCGAGGGCAGAGAUUUUUAUCAGAUGCACAGUAAGGGCUCCGUAAAUAUUCGGUCAACGUAGAAAGAACAGGAAUCAGAGGUUCUGGUGUGUGUGUGUCACCUUUUCCCAUGAAUGCCAUUGCACUUAGCCAGUGAAUGAAAGAGGAAGAGAACACCUUAGAUCAAGUUCAAUGCCUCCUUGAUGAGGGACUCUGAUCAACUUUGAGGGGCACUGAGGCCUAGUGAGGGGAAGGAUAUCCCAGAUAAUCACAGAACACGACUUCAGAGCUGGGACUGGAUCCCUCACACCCAUCUCCCCGAGUGUAUGCUCUGGUCUCCCUGCCACCCACGGCUAGAUAGAGGCCACUCCAUGCUGACAGCAAGCUCCAGUCUCAUAAGCCACAAAUAAGAACAAGGAACAAAGAAAACAAAGAAGUGAGGUGU